GCGGGUAUAGUUUAGUGGUAAAACAUUAGCCUUCCAAGCUACUGAUGCGGGUUCGAUUCCCGCUACCCGCU
RNAcentral lists this transfer RNA (71 nucleotides) under Marsilea crenata. RNAcentral's name for it is "tRNA-Gly". It matches the Rfam family "tRNA". Rfam says of the family: Transfer RNA (tRNA) molecules are approximately 80 nucleotides in length. The record is from RNAcentral. Lineage: Eukaryota; Viridiplantae; Streptophyta; Polypodiopsida; Salviniales; Marsileaceae.